Molecule: ribosomal RNA, 654 nt
Filed under: uncultured archaeon
Lineage: Archaea
Description: bacterial SSU rRNA
Rfam family: Archaeal small subunit ribosomal RNA
Source: RNAcentral
GCCUAAAGCGUCCGUAGCCUGUUCUAUAAGUCUCCGGUUAAAUCCACUAGCUCAACUAAUGGGCUGCCGAAAAUACUGUAGAACUAGGGAGUGGGAGAGGUAGACGGUAUUCGGUAGGAAGGGGUAAAAUCCUUUGAUCUAUUGAGGACCACCUGUGGCGAAGGCGGCCUACCAGAACACGUUCGACGGUGAGGGAUGAAAGCUGGGGGAGCAAACCGGAUUAGAUACCCGGGUAGUCCCAGCUGUAAACGAUGCAGACUCGGUGAUGCGCUGGCUUGUGGCCAGUGCAGUGCCGCAGGGAAGCCGUUAAGUUUGCCGCCUGGGAAGUACGUACGCAAGUAUGAAACUUAAAGGAAUUGGCGGGGGAGCACCACAAGGGGUGAAGCCUGCGGUUCAAUUGGAGUCAACGCCAGAAAUCUUACCCGAAGAGACAGCAGAAUGAAGGUCAAGCUGAAGACUUUACCAGACAAGCUGAGAGGUGGUGCAUGGCCGUCGCCAGCUCGUGCCGUGAGAUGUCCUGUUAAGUCAGGUAACGAGCGAGAUCCCUGCCUCUAGUUGCCACCAUUACUCUCAGGAGUAGUGGGGCGAAUUAGCGGGACCGCCGCAGUUAAUGCGGAGGAAGGAAGGGGCCACGGCAGGUCAGUAUGCCCCGAA